This 292-nucleotide ribosomal RNA is filed under the name uncultured bacterium. RNAcentral's name for it is "partial 16S ribosomal RNA". It matches the Rfam family "Bacterial small subunit ribosomal RNA", at positions 505 to 796 of the family's 1533-position model. The record is from RNAcentral.
GUGUCAGCAGCCGCGGUAACACGUAGGGCGCAAGCGUUGUCCGGAAUUAUUGGGCGUAAAGAGCUCGUAGGCGGCCUGUCGCGUCCGCUGUGAAAACCCGGGGCUUAACCCCGGGCCUGCAGUGGAUACGGGCAGGCUAGAGGCAGGUAGGGGAGAAUGGAAUUCCCGGUGUAGCGGUGAAAUGCGCAGAUAUCGGGAGGAACACCGGUGGCGAAGGCGGUUCUCUGGGCCUGACCUGACGCUGAGGAGCGAAAGCGUGGGGAGCGAACAGGAUUAGAUACCCCCGUAGUCC